AGUGAACGCUGGCGGUAGGCCUAACACAUGCAAGUCGAACGGCAGCACAGUAAGAGCUUGCUCUUACGGGUGGCGAGUGGCGGACGGGUGAGGAAUACAUCGGAAUCUACUUUUUCGUGGGGGAUAACGUAGGGAAACUUACGCUAAUACCGCAUACGACCUACGGGUGAAAGCAGGGGAUCCUCGGACCUUGCGCGAUUGAAUGAGCCGAUGUCGGAUUAGCUAGUUGGCGGGGUAAAGGCCCACCAAGGCGACGAUCCGUAGCUGGUCUGAGAGGAUGAUCAGCCACACUGGAACUGAGACACGGUCCAGACUCCUACGGGAGGCAGCAGUGGGGAAUAUUGGACAAUGGGCGCAAGCCUGAUCCAGCCAUACCGCGUGGGUGAAGAAGGCCUUCGGGUUGUAAAGCCCUUUUGUUGGGAAAGAAAAGCAGCAGGUUAAUACCCCGCUGUUCUGACGGUACCCAAGGAAUAAGCACCGGCUAACUUCGUG
Molecule: ribosomal RNA, 492 nt
Filed under: uncultured bacterium
Lineage: Bacteria
Description: partial 16S ribosomal RNA
Rfam family: Bacterial small subunit ribosomal RNA
Source: RNAcentral